UACGUAGGGUGCAAGCGUUAAUCGGAAUUACUGGGCGUAAAGCGUGCGCAGGCGGUUUUGUAAGUCUGUCGUGAAAUCCCCCGGGCUCAACCUGGGAAUUGCGAUGGAGACUGCAAGGCUAGAAUCUGGCAGAGGGGGGGGUAGAAUUCCACGUGUAGCAGUGAAAAUGCGUAGAGAUGUGGAGGAACACCGAUGGCGAAAGGCAGCCCCCC
This 212-nucleotide ribosomal RNA is filed under the name uncultured bacterium. RNAcentral's name for it is "partial 16S ribosomal RNA". It matches the Rfam family "Bacterial small subunit ribosomal RNA", at positions 524 to 730 of the family's 1533-position model. The record is from RNAcentral.